ACGCUCGACACCUACGGGAGGCAGCAGUUGGGAAUAUUGGACAAUGGAGGAAACUCUGAUCCAGUGACGCCGCGUGAAGGAAGAAGGUCUUCGGAUUGUAAACUUAUUUUGUCAGGGAAGAAACAAAUGACUGUACCUGAAGAAAAAGCACCGGCUAACUACGUACCAGCAGCCGCGGUAAUCUGAGCGGGCUGGCAAGGC
This 201-nucleotide ribosomal RNA is filed under the name uncultured bacterium. Its description in RNAcentral is "partial 16S ribosomal RNA". It matches the Rfam family "Bacterial small subunit ribosomal RNA", at positions 328 to 539 of the family's 1533-position model. The record is from RNAcentral.